RNAcentral lists this ribosomal RNA (253 nucleotides) under uncultured bacterium. Its description in RNAcentral is "partial 16S ribosomal RNA". It matches the Rfam family "Bacterial small subunit ribosomal RNA", at positions 524 to 776 of the family's 1533-position model. The record is from RNAcentral.
UACGUAGGGUGCAAGCGUUACUCGGAAUUACUGGGCGUAAAGCGCACGUAGGCGGACUAUUAAGUCAGGGGUGAAAUCCCGGGGCUCAACCCCGGAACUGCCUUUGAUACUGGUAGUCUCGAGUCCGGAAGAGGUGAGUGGAAUUCCGAGUGUAGAGGUGAAAUUCGUAGAUAUUCGCAAGAACACCAGUGGCGAAGGCGGCUCACUGGCCCGAUACUGACGCUGAGGCACGAAAGCGUGGGGAGCAAACAGG